ACAACAGUUGGAAACGACUGCUAAUACCGCAUAAGCCCACGGCUCGGCAUCGAGCAGAGGGAAAAGGAGCAAUCCGCUUUGAGAUGGCCUCGCGUCUGAUUAGCUAGUUGGUGAGGUAACGGCCCACCAAGGCGACGAUCGGUAGCCGGACUGAGAGGUUGAACGGCCACAUUGGGACUGAGACACGGCCCAGACUCCUACGGGAGGCAGCAGUGGGGAAUAUUGCACAAUGGGGGAAACCCUGAUGCAGCGACGCCGCGUGGAGGAAGAAGGUCUUCGGAUUGUAAACUCCUGUUGUUGAGGAAGAUAAUGACGGUACUCAACAAGGAAGUGACGGCUAACUACGUGCCAGCAGCCGCGGUAAAACGUAGGUCACAAGCGUUGUCCGGAAUUACUGGGUGUAAAGGGAGCGCAGGCGGGAGAACAAGUUGGAAGUGAAAUCCAUGGGCUCAACCCAUGAACUGCUUUCAAAACUGUUUUUCUUGAGUAGUGCAGAGGUAGGCGGAAUUCCCGGUGUAGCGGUGGAAUGCGUAGAUAUCGGGAGGAACACCAGUGGCGAAGGCGGCCUACUGGGCACCAACUGACGCUGAGGCUCGAAAGUGUGGGUAGCAAACAGGAUUAGAUACCCUGGUAGUCCACACCGUAAAC
This 648-nucleotide ribosomal RNA is filed under the name uncultured bacterium. RNAcentral describes it as "bacterial SSU rRNA". It matches the Rfam family "Bacterial small subunit ribosomal RNA", at positions 143 to 807 of the family's 1533-position model. The record is from RNAcentral.